GAGAGUAAGCUAAUCUCUUAAAGCCGUUCUCAGUUCGGACUGUAGGCUGCAACUCGCCUACACGAAGUCGGAAUCGCUAGUAAUCGCGGAUCAGCAUGCCGCGGUGAAUACGUUCCCGGGCCUUGUACACACCGCCCGUCAAGCCAUGAAAGCCGGGGGUACCUGAAGUACGUAACCGCAAGGAUCGUCCUAGGGUAAAACUGGUAAUUGGGGCUAAGUCGUAACAAGGUAAC
Molecule: ribosomal RNA, 233 nt
Filed under: uncultured bacterium
Lineage: Bacteria
Description: partial 16S ribosomal RNA
Rfam family: Bacterial small subunit ribosomal RNA
Source: RNAcentral